Cucurbita moschata (crookneck pumpkin) is the source of this 981-nucleotide long non-coding RNA. RefSeq lists it as uncharacterized. The transcript is spliced from 2 exons. Lineage: Eukaryota; Viridiplantae; Streptophyta; Magnoliopsida; Cucurbitales; Cucurbitaceae. The record is from RefSeq and is a predicted model, not a curated record.
GUUUGGAAGAAGCUUUCUUUUACAUUCAAUAUGAACUUUCUGUACAUUCAUUUUUUCUGCAAGGUAGUCCUAUGGAAUGAUAGCUAUACACAUUGAGUAAUAUGAUUACCAAACAAUUCAUUUAUAGACUAAGAUCAAAACAUAAUGUGUGCUCAUUUAUCCAAGACACCAAAUAACCCACUAGUAUCUUAGCUAUAAAAAAAUUUCGGGUCACUUGGUUUUAUAGUUGGGCAGAAUUCUGAGUAUAAAAGAAUCAGCUCGCAAGUGUACUGCAUUGGUGAUGAUUUACAGCUUCGCCUUUUGGGGUUUUUGUACCAAUUAUUUAAAUGUCAUAUUCGUGGUUUACUUUGAUGAAGAAAAACAAUGUGUUCUAUAGAAUUGGACGGCAAGACUUUAGUUGCUGACUUUUGCAGCAUACUGUUUUCUCUCUAGUGUCCCAAGAGGUUUAGGAAAUGCAAGGGCUUCGCUGACUGAUCUCUGGGAUGCUAGGAAGGUUACCUAUAGAAGAUCGUUAUCCUGUGUUUGCCUAGUUAGGGUCUAUAUUUAUGAGUGGUUUUAGUGUGUUUUUAGCUGAAGGGAUUUAAUUAUAAUUACUUCUGUAAAUUGUUUAAUUGUUCAUCAUUUCAAACGGUUUCAUUUUUUAGAGUUGAUAUUAAUUUAAUAAAAAAUGUUUUUUAAGAAAAUAAUGUUUGUUCUCAAUAGUGAUUCUAACAAAAAUUAUUAGGGAAAAAAAGGUUGGAGAUAAGAAUACAGGUGAAGUUUUAGAGGGAAGGAAGGGACUAUUUGAGGAAGGAAAAAAAAGGAAAUAAGGGACGAAAAGUAGAUAACGACAGAGAAUUAGGGAGAAUUUUUUAGGGUUAAAAUUGAAAGGGAGGAAUGAACUUGGGGUAGGACAAAAAAUUUGGAGAGGAUAUAAGAAAAACUAGAUAUAAGUUUUAGCUAGAGAAUAAAGUUAGAAAGAAGGGACGAAUUUUGGAUAGA